RNAcentral lists this ribosomal RNA (450 nucleotides) under uncultured bacterium. RNAcentral describes it as "bacterial SSU rRNA". It matches the Rfam family "Bacterial small subunit ribosomal RNA", at positions 335 to 799 of the family's 1533-position model. The record is from RNAcentral.
ACUCCUACGGGGAGGCAGCAGUGGGGAAUAUUGCACAAUGGGCGCAAGCCUGAUGCAGCAACGCCGCGUGAGCGAUGAAGGCCUUCGGUCGUAAAGCUCUGUCCUCAAGGAAGAAUAAAUAGACGGUACUUGAGGAGGAAGCCCGGCUAACUACGUGCCAGCAGCCGCGGUAAUACGUAGGGGGCAAGCGUUAUCCGGAAUCACUGGGGCGUAAAGGGGUGCGUAGGCGGUUUUUCAAGUCAGAAGUGAAAGGCUAUGGCUCAACCAUAGUAAGCUUUUGAAACUGUUAAACUUGAGUGCAGGAGAGGAAAGUGGAAUUCCUAGUGUAGAGGUGAAAUUCGUAGAUAUUAGGAGGAACACCAGUGGCGAAGGCGACUUUCUGGACUGUAACUGACGCUGAGGCACGAAAGCGUGGGAGCGAACAGGAUUAGAUACCCUGGUAGCACAGAG